RNAcentral lists this ribosomal RNA (435 nucleotides) under uncultured bacterium. RNAcentral's name for it is "bacterial SSU rRNA". It matches the Rfam family "Bacterial small subunit ribosomal RNA", at positions 43 to 524 of the family's 1533-position model. The record is from RNAcentral.
CAGGCCUAACACAUGCAAGUCGAACGAAGGCUUCGGCCUUAGUGGCGCACGGGUGCGUAACGCGUGGGAAUCUGCCUUUGGGUACGGAAUAACUCAGGGAAACUUAAGCUAAUACCGUAUGAUGUCGCGAGACCAAAGAUUUAUCGCCCGAAGAUGAGCCCGCGUUGGAUUAGCUAGUUGGUGGGGUAAAGGCCUACCAAGGCGACGAUCCAUAGCUGGUCUGAGAGGAUGAUCAGCCACACUGGGACUGAGACACGGCCCAGACUCCUACGGGAGGCAGCAGUGGGGAAUAUUGGACAAUGGGCGAAAGCCUGAUCCAGCAAUGCCGCGUGAGUGAUGAAGGCCUUAGGGUUGUAAAGCUCUUUUACCCGGGAAGAUAAUGACUGUACCGGGAGAAUAAGCUCCGGCUAACUCCGUGCCAGCAGCCGCGGUAAU